Molecule: long non-coding RNA, 223 nt
Filed under: Lepisosteus oculatus (spotted gar)
Lineage: Eukaryota; Metazoa; Chordata; Actinopteri; Semionotiformes; Lepisosteidae
Description: lncRNA (ENSLOCG00000022319.1)
Source: RNAcentral
CAUUAUUUGGGGAUACCCUGUUGAUACUGUACCUCAGGAUCCUGUCUUCUUUAUGAAACUUGAUGACCUGGUUUGCCAUCAGCUUGGGUCUAGCAAUGUCUCAGACUGGUCUGACCACUUCCGAUCUCUAAAGGGUUUGGCACACUCGAUUCAGCUUUUGGCGGAAGUCCUGGAUGGACGUGCAGAAAUGUCCUUGAUAGAUUUAAAGGGUGGAAGGAUUUGA